UCCCUGGUGGUCUAGCAGCCAAGGAUCCUGCGCUCUCACCAGCCUGGGUUCAAUUCCCAGGCAGGGAA
Non-coding RNA from Pangasius djambal, 68 nucleotides. Lineage: Eukaryota; Metazoa; Chordata; Actinopteri; Siluriformes; Pangasiidae. The record is from the annotation of a GenBank genome assembly.